RNAcentral lists this ribosomal RNA (253 nucleotides) under uncultured bacterium. RNAcentral's name for it is "partial 16S ribosomal RNA". It matches the Rfam family "Bacterial small subunit ribosomal RNA", at positions 524 to 776 of the family's 1533-position model. The record is from RNAcentral.
UACAGGGGGGGCAAGCGUUGUUCGGAAUUACUGGGCGUAAAGCGUGCGCAGGCGGCGCGUUAAGACAGGUGUGAAAGCCCCGAGCUUAACUUGGGAAUUGCGCUUGUGACUGGCGUGCUGGAGUGUGGCAGAGGGAGGUGGAAUUCCACGUGUAGCAGUGAAAUGCGUAGAGAUGUGGAGGAACACCGAUGGCGAAGGCAGCCUCCUGGGCCAGCACUGACGCUCAUGCACGAAAGCGUGGGGAGCAAACAGG